UUUUUCACAACCCCGAAUUUCACUUCCUUGUGAAGAGGCAAGGAUAAAAUCGUUAGACGAGAAGACCCUGUCGAGCUUAUAGCAAAAGUUUACCCUCUACCAUAUUUAAGCUGCCCUAAUUUUUGAUGAUAGGCAAAAUAAAUUUUGGGGGACUAACCAAAGCUUUGGUUGGGGCAACCGCGGAGCAGGAAAAACCUCCGCUAAUACAAUAAACAAUUAAAGUAAGAACAACAAUUCUAAAAUCAAAAAUGAAAGAGUGAUCCACUUAGGUGACCAAAGGAACAAGUUACCGCA
This 294-nucleotide ribosomal RNA is filed under the name Sterechinus neumayeri. RNAcentral describes it as "partial 16S large subunit ribosomal RNA". Lineage: Eukaryota; Metazoa; Echinodermata; Echinoidea; Camarodonta; Echinidae. The record is from RNAcentral.